UACGGCUCAGUAACACGUCGAUAAUCUACCCUUAAGUUCAGGAUAACCUCGGGAAACUGAGGAUAACACUGGAUAGGGAAACAAAUCUGGGAAUGAUUGUUUCUUUAAAAGUAAUGCUUAAGGACGAGUUGGCGGCGGAUUAGGCUGUUGGUGAGGUAACGGCUCACCAAACCGAAGAUCCGUAGGGGCUCUGAGAGGAGUAGCCCCGAGAAGGGCACUGAGACACUGGCCCUAGCCCUACGGGGUGCAGCAGGCGCGAAAACUUUACAAUGCACGCAAGUGUGAUAAGGGAACCCAGAGUGCUUAUACAAUGUAUAGGCUUUUGCCAAGAGCAAAUAUCUUGGAGAAUAAGUGGUGGGAAAGACUGGUGCCAGCCGCCGCGGUAACCCCAGCGCCACAAGUGGGAAUCGCGUUUAUUUGGCCUAAAGCAUCCGUAGCCGGUUUUGUAAAUCUCUUGUGAAAUUGUUAGGCUCAACCUAACAGCGUGCAGGAGACACUGCAGAACUAGGGACCGGGAGGGGUCAGGGGUAUGCAAUGGGGAGCGGUAAAAUGCUAUAAUCCAUUGUAGACCACCUGUGGCGAAGGCGCCUGACCAGAACGGGUCCGACGGUGAGGGAUGAAAGCCAGGGGAGCAAACCGGAUUAGAUACCCGAGUAGUCCUGGCCGUAAACCCUGCUAGCUAGGU
This 685-nucleotide ribosomal RNA is filed under the name uncultured archaeon. Its description in RNAcentral is "bacterial SSU rRNA". It matches the Rfam family "Archaeal small subunit ribosomal RNA", at positions 84 to 772 of the family's 1478-position model. The record is from RNAcentral.